CAAUUUCCAAAGGAAUUAUUCUUGACAGAUACAUGCCAUCUUUAACUUUGAAACAAGGAAUAAAAACACAGAAUAAUGCUCCAGGGCAUGAGUUCGCUGUGAAGAGAAGUGGACUAGGAAGAAAGUGCCCCGUUGGGCAGGCUCAACUUAUAUUUCAUGACAGGCUUCAGUAUGCCAAAGACCUGGAAUUCUGGUACAUUCUGAAAGUAAAUUUAUGUACAACAUUACUUAUGUUAAUGUAACAUGUAUUUCAUAUUAUGUAAUUAAUAUUAAUGCAAAGUUUGUACCAGAUACGUUGCUGAGAAUUCUGAUGAUUACUAAGGGAACUAAAACCUUAUGUAAACUGUACAGACAACAUUAACACUGAAAUGAUCAACAUCUUAAUAAAGUAGUGUGGGACUGGAA
RNAcentral lists this long non-coding RNA (405 nucleotides) under Numida meleagris (helmeted guineafowl). RNAcentral's name for it is "lncRNA (ENSNMEG00000013396.1)". The record is from RNAcentral. Lineage: Eukaryota; Metazoa; Chordata; Aves; Galliformes; Numididae.